Molecule: small RNA, 249 nt
Filed under: Enterobacter sp. CC120223-11
Lineage: Bacteria; Pseudomonadati; Pseudomonadota; Gammaproteobacteria; Enterobacterales; Enterobacteriaceae
Description: SgrS RNA
Rfam family: SgrS RNA
About the family: In sugar transport-related sRNA (SgrS) is induced under conditions of glucose phosphate stress in E.coli. This small RNA acts to negatively regulate the translation and stability of the ptsG mRNA, which encodes the major glucose transporter in E. coli.
Source: RNAcentral
GAUGAAGUGAGGAGGUGAAUAUGUCGAAGCCAUCUGUCCGUCAGUUUUACCAACAGUACUUUUUGGCGACGCAGGGAGCGUCAUGGCUGGCCCGCCUGGUCGCAGGAUUGCGCCUGAAAAUGCUGGAAGAAUUGAUGCAGUGGGAUGUUACGAACCCGGCUUCUGGAUCUCAUUAACUUGCCAAAUCAUGUGUGACUGAGUAUUGGUGUAAAAUCACCCGCCAGCAGAAAGCUUCUGCUGGCUUUUUUC